Long non-coding RNA from Rhipicephalus sanguineus (brown dog tick), 729 nucleotides. RefSeq lists it as uncharacterized. The record is from RefSeq and is a predicted model, not a curated record. Lineage: Eukaryota; Metazoa; Arthropoda; Arachnida; Ixodida; Ixodidae. The transcript has 3 exons.
UAUUUUUGUGUAUUCCAGUUAUUGGCUUCGAACAGCUUAAAAGGGGCCACAACAACUACGAAAGGGUUUUGUGCCUCUUGAGAGCCACAUACCAAGACCGCUGCCAACACCACGUAGACCCCUUGCCAAAUUAUUUUUUGGUGGAAGAAACUCUUUGUGCUGAGCUCCAACUGCGCUUUGGAUUCACUGUGGAUGAAGCGGAAGAACGGCUAAAAAAGUCGUCACAAGUUUUCUCAGAGGAGGAAGGAAGGGAAACUUCAUUUUUAGAGCUCUCGAAGCACUUGCAAGGUUCGUCAGAGCACUCACUGAUCAUUGAGGCUGCUCUACCGACAGAAAUAAAAAUUGCUGCACCACACGUAUAUGUAUACAAGGACCAAGCUUGGGUAUAUGGAGGCAGCAAGGAAGAAGUAAUUCACCUGAAGGAACUGAACCUUGAGCGUGCCGUCGUCAUAUGCUUUCUCAUAUACUAUCUGAAAAACCUCAUGUACCCGCCUGCUUUUUCGCAGACCCUCAAUAUGGUCCAAAAACUUUUAAGACCUCAAGCACCUAUCCCAUGUGGGCUUAUUUCAAACCUGUUGAAGUGUUUCUUGGCGCUUUUGAAGAAAAAAAAAAGUCUGAUCACUAUAUAUGCAAUUGGUUGGUCAAACUUUAUUGCCAAAGAUUAUUUGGGCAGAUGUUUGGAAGUUCUCAUAUAAAUAUUUUUCCAAGAAAAACUUUUCAGUUACGUAU